This 470-nucleotide long non-coding RNA is filed under the name Zea mays. Its description in RNAcentral is "long non-coding RNA (ZMAY_LNC002812)". The record is from RNAcentral. Lineage: Eukaryota; Viridiplantae; Streptophyta; Magnoliopsida; Poales; Poaceae.
CGGUGCAGCUGGCGCAAAACGUCAUCAUCCACAACCUGCACGUGCACGACGUCAAGCACACCAUGGGCGGCCUCAUGCGCGACUCCCCCACGCACAUCGGCUCCCGCACCAGGGCCGACGGCGACGGCAUCUCCCUCUUCUCCGCCACCAACGUCUGGAUCGACCACAUCUCCAUGUCCAACUGCGAGGACGGCCUCAUCGACGUCGUGCAGAGCUCCACGGGGAUCACCAUCUCCAACUGCCACUUCACCAACCACAACGACGUCAUGCUCUUCGGCGCCAGCGACUCCUGGCCGCAGGACCAGAUCAUGCAGAUCACCGUCGCCUUCAACCACUUCGGCAGGGGCCUGGUGCAGCGGAUGCCAAGGUGCCGCUGGGGCUUCUUCCACGUUGUCAACAACGACUACACGCACUGGCUCAUGUACGCCAUUGGCGGCGGCGACGCGCCAACCAUCAUCAGCCAGGGCAAC